CCUUCGCCACGCCCGCUACAAGAAACUACGAAAAGGUAAGUUCGACGGGGCCCGCACAAGCGGUGGAGUAUGUGGUUUAAUUCGAUGCAACGCGAAGAACCUUACCUGGUCUUGACAUCCCGGAGACCCUUAGGAAACUAGGGGGUGCUUCCAUCUGGAAGAAUCUGGAGACAGGUGCUGCAUGGCUGUCGUCAGCUCGUGUCGUGAGAUGUUGGGUUAAGUCCCGCAACGAGCGCAACCCUUGCCUUUAGUUGCCAGCAGUUCGGCUGGGCACUCUAAAGGGACUGCCGGUGUUAAACCGGAGGAAGGUGGGGAUGACGUCAAGUCCUCAUGGCCUUUAUGACCAGGGCUACACACGUACUACAAUGGCCGAUACAAAGGGCAGCGACACUGCGAGGUGAAGCCAAUCCCGUAAAAUCGGUCUCAGUCCGGAUUGGAGUCUGCAACUCGACUCCAUGAAGUUGGAAUCGCUAGUAAUCGUGGAUCAGCAUGCCACGGUGAAUACGUUCCCGGGCCUU
RNAcentral lists this ribosomal RNA (518 nucleotides) under uncultured Desulfobulbus sp. Its description in RNAcentral is "bacterial SSU rRNA". It matches the Rfam family "Bacterial small subunit ribosomal RNA", at positions 910 to 1382 of the family's 1533-position model. The record is from RNAcentral. Lineage: Bacteria; Pseudomonadati; Thermodesulfobacteriota; Desulfobulbia; Desulfobulbales; Desulfobulbaceae.